This is a long non-coding RNA of Mobula hypostoma (lesser devil ray), 4914 nucleotides long. RefSeq lists it as uncharacterized. The record is from RefSeq and is a predicted model, not a curated record. The transcript has 3 exons. NCBI's taxonomy places the organism in Eukaryota, Metazoa, Chordata, Chondrichthyes, Myliobatiformes, Myliobatidae.
GCGCGUUGGCCACCCCGCGCACUCCUGGCCCACCAGCGCUGGCGGGGGCGGUCACGAGCGAGGGGGGACGGGGUUGUGGGUGCGGCGGCUCCUCACCGGAUGGCAGCUGGCAGCUGGUAAAACCUGAGGUACGGACAUAGCCAAGCACACUCAUCUCUUACAACACGCUGGAGGAACUCAGCAGGUCGGGCAGCAUCCGUGGAAACAAUCAGGCGGUUGGCAGUCCAAUUUAAAGGGGAAUUACCACCACCAAAAGGAUUGUGCUUUCCUGCUAUCUUCCAAACAGAAAACUGAAUCCAGUACCAUUAGAUGCUCCAAGAACUUGGCAGCCCGAGAACAGUGGCAACGGCCGAGUGCUCUCUCCUCCUCUCCAGCCGUUAGAACUCCAGGGCCGCGAUCCAAUGUGCAGCCUGCGAUUGCUAACGGGAUCACAGUGCAUGCUCGAGAGUUACUCUCUCAAGCCAGCACCUGGACUCCAAAUCCUGUUCAUGAUGAAGAAAAUGGCAGGGGAAGGGGUGCUGUACUCUUCCACCAACCCUACCUCUUCAGUCAGGCUUCUGCCUCGUUCCUUUUCAGAUGAAGGGCUUUGGCUUGAAAAGUUGCCUGCAUUUCUCUCCACAGAUGCUGCCUGCCUUGCUCAGUUCCUUUGACAUUGUCUCUGUGUUGCUCAGAUUUCCAGUACCUUCAGAUUCUCGUCUGUCUCUGAUUUAUAAGGAGAGGUUGGACAGACGGGCGUGGUGGUAUAUUUAUGAUGGGUAGGAAGUACAGAAAUAGAUUUCCAGGCAUCUGUGAGGAUUUCUUUCCCCCCACUCAGAGGCUGGUACCUGGAAUACACAGAGGGGAAACCUCUCUCUGGUCUGGUAUGGGAGCCAUAAGGCACGGGGGAAAUGAACCCUUCCACCCAUCGAGUCUGCUCUGCCAUUCCAUCAUGGCUGAUUUAUUAUCCCUCUCAACCCCUUUCUCCUGCCUUCUCCUGUAACCUUUGACACUGACUGAUUAAGAACCUAUCAACUCCUACUCUAAAUAUACUCAAUGACUUGGCUUAUGGCAAUAAAUUCCACAAAUUCCAGCGAAUAGUGUGUAAUACAAGGGAGCUUCACACUGUUGCCUGACCCCCUGGCAUAUGUGGAGGGAGUUUCACUCUGUGUCUGACCCCGGGAGUGUGUGAUGGGACGGUGUGGAGGGAGCUUCACUCUGUGUCUGACCCCGAGAGUGUGUGGAGGGAGCUUCACUCUGUGUCUGACCCCGGGAGUGUGUGAUGGGACGGUGUGGAGGGAGUUUCACUCUGUGUCUGACCCCGGGAGUGUGUGAUGGGACGGUGUGGAGGGAGUUUCACUCUGGAUUAACUCUCUCACCACUAAUUUUGUUCCUGGACCUUGCUCUUUGUGAGUUUUGUAAAUGACUUGGGUGACAAAGCUUAACAAUGUGUCACCCUCACUGUCGGUUUGUACUGAGUUAGUUCUUACUAUGAAUACUAACCAACAAGAUAACUCGACAAUACAUGGGAGUAACAACGAAAGUGUCACUCUCAAUGGUUCUACACUAGAUAUGAUUCAAAUUAACACAAAAACGUAAAAGUUUUAUGUUCUUUUCAGGGAAAAUAAGACAAUUACCUGUAUGAAUACUGACGCACCCAUACAAAUUUACCAUUCAGCAGAAAGAAAUAAUUCAGCUCACACCUGUAUAAACUUAGAUUAAAAUUGUAUUGAAAAAAUAUUUUAAACUUUAACAAUCAAAAUAAAGGAAAGGACCUAUUUAUAUACAAGUUUAUAUCACGCACUAUUGUUGGAGCUGAUUGUCACACAAUCAAUCCAGUUUGCUUCACUUCAUUCACUCACGGUACCGACAUGAUUCCAGUUCCAGCAGGAAAAAAUAUCCACGUAACAUCCGAGGGAAAAGGCAUCGAGCUUCCUCCAGCGUCGUGUGCUGUUGGAGACACCUGCACAUUCUUCAUGAGACCAAAGCCUGCAUGAAGGUUUUCCAGCGACGGUAACCGUCCUUCCAAACGGGUCCUGGGAGUGUUUCACCGAAUUCUCCCAUCGCAUUUGUUAUCCAUUUCCAGUUCGCAACCCGUUCUCUCUCCCACGCUCACUCUAGAAUGAUCCCAAACAAAUCCUAUUUGCUAAUUCAACAAGCCCAACUUAUUAAUUGACCUAAUUUUUAUUUUAAAACAAAAAAAAACACUUUACUGCAUUUUGAGCAAAUACCCAACAGCGUAACUGUCUAAGACCAGGGGGUUACAGAUGUGUUGGCAAGUUUGCAGAUGGUUAGAGAUGCUGGGAUCAGGUAGGAGGUUGUCUUAGGUUACGACAGGAAAUUGAUAGGAGAGCUGGGCCUAGAAGUGGCGGAUGGUAAAGUGUCCGGUGAUACCCUUUGGAAGGUUUUGACCUUGAAGGAAGAGCACAGGGAAAUUGGCAAGACUCUUAGCAGCCUGAAGGACCAGAUGAGCUUCACAUCCAUGGAUCCCUCAAAGUUGACAGGAUGGUUGAGAAGGCAUUUGGCGUGCUGGCCUUCACUAGUCAAGUGAUUUGAGUAGUCAAAGUGAUGUUGUGGCUUGAGAAAACUCUUGCUACGACCACACUUGGGAGUGUUAUGUUCAGUUCUGGCCGCCUCAUUGGAGAAAGAUGUGGAACAUUUACAGAGUGUGCAGAGGAAAUUGGCCAGGAUGCUGCUUGGAUUGGAGAGCACGUCUUGUGAGAAUAGGUCAAGCAAGCUAUGGAUUUUAUCUUCGGAGCAAAGGAAAAUCAGAGGCAACUUGGUAGAGGCAUAUAAGAGAACAAGAGGCAUAGAUAGAGUGGACAGACAGAGACUUUUUCUCCAGUGCAGAAGUGGCUUAAAGUGUGCUCCUUAUAUACGAGGCAUAAUUUUAAGCUGGUUGGAGGAAAGUACAGUGCCGAUGUCAGAUGUAGGCAUUUUACACGGAGAGCGGUGGGUGUAUCGAACGCACUGCCAGGGCGGUGGUGGAGGCAGAUACACUGCGGAGAUUUUGGAGGCUCAGACAGCAAGAGGAAUGAACGGACAAUAGAGGGUUAAGUGGGAGGGUGGGGUCAGAUCUGAUUUAUUUUUAAAACCGCAGCAUUGAAAUACAGCCUAGAAUUUUGCACAGCUACCAUUAACAUUCACAAAAUGCCACACCAGAUACGGUCCCCAGCUAUUCCACCUCUCCCACCCUCCGAGUCCCAGAGUAUCCCAGCCUGGAACAUAGCAGGAAGUCCUGGAUUGUCACUGGGUCCAAAUCCCAACACUCUGAAAUCUAUUCAUUCCCUCACAGGAAGGCUGUGGAGACCCUGGGCUGAAGGGUGUGGAGAAGCCGUCUGGUUUAGAGGGCAGGAGCUAUAAAGGGGACAAACUUGGGUUACUUUCUCCGAAGCAGCAAAUGAUGAGGGGAAACCUAGUUUAUACAGGCAGAAAGUCUGUGUUAUGGAAUGUGAGGAACACUCUACCACGUGGCGUGGUACAGGCUGGUACAGUAAGGGCAUUUUAGAGACUCAGACAGCAACUUGGGUCAAAGAAGAACACGAGAUUAUGUGGGAGGGAAGCGUUAGAUUAAAAUGUUAGUACAGCAUUAAGGGCCGAAGGGCCUGUACUGUUCCCUGUUCUAAUGUCUCAAAUAAACAGGUCGUGUAUUCUAAAGAACACUGAUUUAAUUUUUCAAUAGCCAUUCCAAUACCAAUUUCACCACUUCCCAUAUCUACAGUUGAAGUCAGAAGUUUACAUACACUCAGAUUGAAGUCAUUAAAACUCAUUGUUUCACCACUCCACAGAUUUCAUAUUAGCAAACUACAGUUUUGGCAAGACAUUGAGGACAUCUACUUUGUGCAUGACACAAGUGAUUUUUCCAACAAUUGUUCACAGACAGAUUAUUUCACUUUUAAUUGACUAUAUCACAAUUCCAGUGGGUCAGAAGUUUACAAACAAAAUCAAAAGAUAUCAGCCAAGACUUCAGAAAUAAAAAUUGUGGUCCUCCACAAGUCUGGUUCAUCCUUGGGAACAAUUUCCAAAUGCCUGAAGGUACCACGUUCAUCUGUAUAAACAAUAGUACGCAAAUAUAAACACCAUGGGAUCGUGCAGUCGUCCUACCGCUCAGGAAGGAGACACAUUCCGUCUCCUAGAGAUGAACGUACUUUGGCACGAAAAGUGCAAAUCAAUCCCAGAACAACAGCAAAGGACCUUGUGAAGAUACUGGAGGAAACAGGUAGACAAGUAUCUAUAUCCACAGUAAAACGAGUCCUAUAUCGACAUAACCUGAAAGGCUGCUCAGCAAGGAAGAAGCCACUGCUCCAAAACCGCCAUAAAAAAGCCAGACUACAGUUUGCAAGUGCACAUGGGGACAAAGAUCUUACUUUUUGGAGAAAUGUCCUCUGGUCUGAUGAAACAAAAAUUGAUCUGUUUGGCCAUAAUGACCAUCAUUAUGUUUGGCGGGAAAAGGGUGAGGCUUGCAAGCCGAAGAACACCAUCCCAACCGUGAAGCAUGGGGGUGGCAGCAUCAUGUUGUGGGGGUGCUUUGCUGCAGGAGGGACUGGUGCACUUCACAAAAUAGAUGGCAUCAUGAGGAAGGAACAUUAUGUGGAUAUAUUGAAGCAACAUCUCAAGCCAUCAGCCAGGAAGUUAAAGUUUGUUCACAAAUGGGUCUUCCAAAUGGACAAUGACCCCAAGCAAAGCUCCAAAGUUGUGGCAAAGUUGCCUAAGGACAACGAAGUCAAGGUAUUGGGAGUGGCCAUCACAAAGCCCUGACCUCAGUCCGAUAGAAAAUUUGUGGGCAGAACUGAAAAAGCGUGUGCGAGCAAGGAGGCCUACAAACCUGACUCAGUUACACCAGACAACAGGAAUUCUGCCGAUGCUGGAAAUUCAAGCAACAUACAUCAAAGUUGCUGGUGAACGCAGCAGGCCAGGCAGCAUCUGUAGGAAGAGGUA